UUUGAACGCAUUCAAACUAAAAAUCAAAAUACUCUGUGAACCUGUGAAAACACUCCCUCAGUGUUGCCAUUAGCGUACAUUUUACACAUUUGACGUACUAUUUUAGCCUCCCAUGUGUAAUGUGUAUAUAAUUGGUCCAUGUAAUGUACCAUUUAAACUUAACUUCCAAUAUCAUGAUUAUCAUGUGUAAAAUCUUUGUUUAUGGACUAUUUUACGUAUUUUUUUUGGAAUCGCAGCAAAAAAAUUAUUAACCACAAUUAGUUACGAUUUUGAUUUUCUUGUAUGAUUAUUUUCUCAACCAAUAUGAUUAUUACAUGAUUACAAUGAGUAUAAGUAUAUCAUACAUAAAACUGCGGGGUACCUACUCUGAAGGUUUUAGGACAUUGUAACACUUUUUAAAAUGCUAUAAUAAAUAUAGGUACGUUUCUCACGACUAAAAUCUAUUAAAAUAUAGUACUUCUGCUGACGAGCAGGUGCGAAAGAGCUGGAAAAGCUAAAUUGAGUGAUUUUAGUAAAAAAACAGCUCAUGUACGGUUUUAACCCUAAAUGUACGUUUUCAGCGCUGGAUAUGUGCGUUUUGAGAACUCCGUUGCGGCAACACUGCACUCCCUCCACUUCAUUCAUACAACAUACAAUAACAAUGAUAAAACAAAAUUACAAAUGGAAUUUCCUUAUUUAAAUAGAUAUUUGUGCACUAAAUACAUAAUAAUAUGACAAAGAAGAAGAAGACGUUGCGUGUCACCGUAUAGCCUAGGAAAUAUCUUGUGAAAGUUUUAACUCAAGGCGGAAAUUUAUUGAAAAAAUACUCAACAUAACCUACAAUUACAGUGAAAUACUGAAAAUAUCUUGUACCGUGAUAAUAUUUCUGAAUAAUAAGUGCAAACCCAUACUCUAAGAUCGUGCUUUCAACCACAUACUUAAUACAAUUCCAUAAUCAUAUCGAAAUCCAAAAGUUCGUAAGUCGUAAUUGAUCAUAGUUUAGGUGUGUACUUAUUAGACUCAUGCAUUGUAAACUCUAUAAACGAUUACUCGUAAUGUAUUAAUCAUAUUAAAAGUUGAAUGCGGCUGU
Plutella xylostella (diamondback moth) is the source of this 1069-nucleotide long non-coding RNA. RefSeq lists it as uncharacterized. The record is from RefSeq and is a predicted model, not a curated record. NCBI's taxonomy places the organism in Eukaryota, Metazoa, Arthropoda, Insecta, Lepidoptera, Plutellidae.